UACGGAGGGUGCGAGCGUUAUUCGGAAUUAUUGGGCGUAAAGGGCGCGUAGGCGGCUCUUUAAGUCAAAGGUGAAAUCCCUCGGCUCAACUGAGGAACUGCCUUUGAAACUGAGGAGCUUGAGUCCGGGAGGGGGUAGCGGAAUUCCCAGUGUAGCGGUGAAAUGCGUAGAUAUUGGGAGGAACACCAGUGGCGAAGGCGGCUACCUGGACCGGAACUGACGCUGAGGCGCGAAAGCGUGGGUAGCAAACAGG
RNAcentral lists this ribosomal RNA (253 nucleotides) under uncultured bacterium. Its description in RNAcentral is "partial 16S ribosomal RNA". It matches the Rfam family "Bacterial small subunit ribosomal RNA", at positions 524 to 776 of the family's 1533-position model. The record is from RNAcentral.